GGGAAACAGUUCUCAUUUUGUGUGCUCGGCUGACUGCACGUCCAGCCUCGGGCCAGCUCGAGACGGCCACAUUGUGAGUCUGUGGGAGGGGUUCUACCGAGACGAAUGGACUUUUCUGAGGCAGGGCCCAGGAGCUGUAAUUCGAGGGGCCUCAGAUCUCCCUGCCACCCACCUGCCAGGGCCUGGUUGAAGAUGGCUGAGCGUAAAACAGAAUGCAAGUCAGCUGGAGCACGUACUACUGGAGGCAGAGCCCCAUGAGAAGGGGCCAAGAACCCGCACCCAUCAAAAUCAAGAAGAAAGGCUGAACCCGGAGAGAAAAGGGAGCAACUGAUGUUGCCAUGCAGAUCCCUUGGUUGCUAUGAGAUGGUAACAUCACUCUGCCCCACCAUUGGCCAGUGCCUCCUCAGCUGCGGUGCCUCCCAGGCUGUGUGGUUCUCACGCGGGCCACUGACACAGAGCUGUUACUAUGGUGAACUUUACAAUUUCCUUUGAUUGGUGGAUUUCAGAAAUAGGCCAUCAGCGGAAUUCAUUAUAUUCAGCUAAGUAAAAAUGAAAAAUAAAUACUAUAACUUUCCCCUCAUCACUAACAUGAAGGAAACGUGACCCUUCAUGACAUAAUAAAUCGCUGUUCGGUAACUUAGGAUCCUUCAGGGGACUGAAGCGGGAUGAUCCUCCUAUGCCAAAUUUGGGUGGGAAAGAUAUUCCCUGUAGCUUUGAGUCGACUCUUCAGAGUUAAGGGCAGUGGGCCAACCAGAGUUGGAACUUCAGAGUUGGGAGGAGGUGUGGGAUGGGGCAUGCAUUGAAAUGUAAACUCUAUUGUCUCUGAAGUGAUGGGUGAUGCUGGGGGCCUGAGUGUGGAGGGCAGUUUUACAUCUCAGGACAAUGUUUUCUCAGAUGCUCUUCCAGAAAGAAAAGCCAGGAGUACUCCUGGCUGGAGGCGGCAUGCCUGAGGUCAGAGUCAAAGUAGGGUUUGUGCUGUCUGAAUCCUUUCUCCCACUCUCCCCAGCCUGGCUCAGCUUCUCAGCUUCUCAGGUGGAUUGGCCUCUGAGCCCAAGCCAAGCCAUCGCAUCCCCUGUGACUUGCCCGUAUAUAUGCCCAGAUGGCCUGAAGUAACUGAAGAAUCACAAAAGAAGUGAAUAUGCCUUGCCCCA
Molecule: long non-coding RNA, 1151 nt
Filed under: Homo sapiens (human)
Lineage: Eukaryota; Metazoa; Chordata; Mammalia; Primates; Hominidae
Description: HSALNT0302939
Source: RNAcentral